RNAcentral lists this long non-coding RNA (6601 nucleotides) under Lathyrus oleraceus (garden pea). RNAcentral's name for it is "Pisum sativum (pea) long non-coding RNA (PSAT_LNC035770)". The record is from RNAcentral. Lineage: Eukaryota; Viridiplantae; Streptophyta; Magnoliopsida; Fabales; Fabaceae.
UUCAAGAUCCGAUUUCAAACAUCUCGGAUGUUAUUGCAGUGAUCAUCCAGGCAAAAGUUGCAUUUGCUCGGAUCGUUAAUUUCCUUGAUGCACCAGAACUGCAAAGUGAAAAUUGCAGGAAAAGGUGCUUUAACAACAACCUCAAAGACUCAAUUUCAAUAAAAUGUGCAGACUUUUCAUUGGAAGAUAAUGCAUCAAAGCCAACACUAAGGAACAUAAACUUGGACGUUAGACAUGGACAAAAUGUGGCAAUUUGUGGAGAAGUUGGCUCAGGCAAAUCAACCCUAUUAGCAACUAUUCUUGGAGAAGUUUCUAAAACAAAGGGAACUGUAAGUUUUUGUUUCCUUUAUACUCUUACAAUACACUCCUAAAUAAUGUGAUACUCUAAUUGGUUGUAAUUUGGAUGAUAUUCCUAUUUUUAUUAAAAUAACAACUAAUGUAUUUUUCCACUGUGGUAUCAGUAAAAUGGAUACACUAAUGUCCUAUCAUAUAAAUUCAAUUUAUGGUAAUAAAUUUUAUCUGCCCUACAUUUAAAUUGUAAUAUUAAUUGGUGUCUGAAUCUCUAAUCUAACUCACAGAUUGAUGUUCAUGGGAAGUUUGCAUAUGUGUCUCAAACAGCAUGGAUACAAACAAGCACAGUACGGGAAAAUAUUUUAUUUGGAUCAGAGUUGGAUGAUCAAAGAUAUCAAGAAACACUUCAGAGGUCUUCACUGGUAAAAGACCUUGAGUUGUUUCCCAAUGGGGACCUCACUGAAAUAGGUGAGAGAGGAGUUAAUUUAAGUGGAGGACAAAAGCAACGAAUUCAACUUGCACGUGCUCUUUAUCAGAAUGCUGAUAUAUAUCUAUUGGAUGAUCCGUUUAGUGCUGUUGAUGCACAUACUGCAAAAAAUUUGUUUAAUGUAAUGACAUAUUUACUUCUCAUACUACUUGUACAUGUCUACCAUCAUUUUUUUUACUAAAGAUGGCCUAAAAACUUGGCAGGACUACAUCAUGGAAGGACUCAGAGGCAAAACAGUCUUACUCGUGACUCAUCAAGUCGACUUCCUCCCAGCCUUUGAUUCUAUUUUGGUAAAUUCAAACACCUUAAGUAAUCUACAUGUAACCAUUAAUAAUAAAAUAUUCAUUAAUUUAAAAUUACGGAUUUCAUUUUUAACAUAACCUCCCUCCAUAUCAUUCCUGUUUAUCCAAAUUCUACCUAUCUAAGGUAACAUAAUACAAUGAGAAAUGACAUUGUUAGAUUUUGUUGCAAAGUUGCUUUUAUAGUUUAAUUAACCAAAAGUUUUAACUUUUAAUUAAGCAAUUUGGUGUUGAUAUUCAUUUUUCUGUGGGUUUUUUUACUUUGUCAGUUUGUCAUAUAACUUCAUAUAUAUUUGUUUCGCUUGACUUUUUGCAUAAGAUAAUAAAUGUAUAUAUAGAUGUUUUCCUUGAGAAAUGGAUCAAUGAUAUGUAAGAAUUAAGAUAGUUUAAACAUCUUUGUACACUACUAGUAAUUUGAUUCCCAGGUAAAAAAUACUUAAAUGCAUGUGAGCGAUGAUCCUGUCAAAUACAUUAGCAUGAAAAAUCAAACCUGAAAGUGAUGGAAGCUGCAAUCCUUCAUAUAUGCAAUGACCUGAUCCUUCCUCCUGUACGUAUUCAUGCUCCCUCUUACCUUAUUUCUACACACCAUUGAUCUACCUUCCAUAACAAGAAAUCGUGUGAAACAUUUGCAGUGAUCAAAUAUACUUCUUAAGCCACCUUUUCUGAUAAAAAAAGUAUGACAGAUCAUCAGAGAAUUUACCCUGCUAAUGAUAUGGAGCCCAGAAAUUAAUCAUACUGCUCAUCUAACUUUAAGAAGAACAAUAAAAAUAAAAUCCAAUGCAUUUAACUGCUCAUCUACUUUUAUUUUAUUUACAGUUGAUGUCCUAUGGGGAAAUCCUACACGCCGGUCCAUAUCACCAGCUAUUGGCUUCAAGCCAAGAAUUCAAUGACCUUGUCAAUGCACACAAAGAGACCGCUGGUUCUGACCAAUUUGUGAGUGCUACUUUUUCCAAGAAACAUUCAACUUCCAUAAAUAUUGUGCAAGCUUCCGUAUUAAAGCAGUAUAAAGAACCAAAUGGAAAUCAAUUAAUUCAGCAAGAAGAGAGAGAAAAGGGAGACGCGGGAUUGAAGCCUUACUUCCAAUAUCUAAAUCAGAUGAAAGGCUAUGUAUUAUUCUUUGCGGCUUCCCUUUGUCACCUAAUAUUUUUGGUUUGUCAGAUAUUGCAAGACUCAUGGAUGGCUGCUAAUGUUGACAAUCCGCUUGUUAGCACAUUGCAACUGAUUUUAGUGUAUUUCCUAAUUGGUGUUUUAUCAUUGAUUUUUCUGUUCAUCAGAUGUCUACUUGUAGUUACUUUGGGUCUUCAAUCAUCAAAAGAUUUAUUUUCACAGAUGAUGAACUCCCUCUUCCGCGCACCCAUGUCAUUUUAUGACUCUACUCCAUUGGGAAGGGUGCUUAGUAGGGUAAGCAUAAUAAACAUUAUUUACCUUCCUAUAGAAUGUACGGGAAGAAAUAAUAUUCUAAUUGUUAUUUGUGUUUAGGUUUCAUCUGAUCUGAGUAUUGUGGAUCUUGACAUUCCAUUUAGCCUCACUUUUGCUGUGGCGGGCACAAUAGCUCUUUAUUCUAAUCUUAUAGUUUUGGCAGUUGUCACAUGGCAAGUCUUGAUAGUGGCCAUACCAAUGGUUUAUGUUGCUAUUCAUAUGCAGGUAAUAUACAGAUUCAAUUUUAAAUUGUAUUGCAAUAGUGGUAUUAUGUUAAAAAAGCAAUCAAAUUUAAGUACACAAUGGUCAUUCUUUUUUAAGUAUAUGCACAAAUUUUAAAUUAAACUUUGAACCAUUCGUUAGCUUCUUUGUGUAACAUUUUAAUAACUUUUUAUAAUAAUUUUUUGUAUCUUUGUGUGUUUUAAGCAGAGAUACUACUUUGCCUCAGCAAAAGAAGUAAUGCGGUUGAAUGGCACAACAAAAUCCUCUUUAGCAAAUCAUGUAGCCGAAACUGUUGCUGGAGUUGUAACAAUCAGGGCUUUUGAGGAGGAGGACCGUUCUUUUGAGAAGAAUCUUGAUCUAAUUGAUAAUAACGCUGGUGCUUUUUUUCAUAGCUUUGCCUCAAACGAGUGGUUGAUCCAACGGUUAGAAACAAUCAGUGCAGUUGUUCUCACCGCUGCAACAAUUUGCCUGGUUAUGCUGCCCCCUGGAACAUUCCCCUCAGGUGAUAAUUUGGAUUUUAUUAUCUCUAAAAUGUCAUUUAUUAUUAUUAUUUUAAUUAUCCUAAAAGUGUUUGUUUUUCUCAUUGAAAAUAACUUAUAUAUAGUUUCUAAAUUUUAUCAUCUUUCAUUCCAGGAAUUAUUGGCAUGGCUCUAUCUUAUGGCCUAUCACUAAACGGUGCUUUAGUAUUUUCAAUUCAGAACCAAUGCACUCUAGCUAAUCGCAUAAUAGCAGUAGAGAGGCUAAAUCAAUAUAUGCAUAUACAAAGUGAGGCCGAAGAAAUAGUAGAAGGAAAUCGUCCUAAUUUGAAUUGGCCAAUUGCGGGAAAAGUAGAAAUAAAUGACUUGAAGGUAAAUGGUACUACUUUUGAAAUUGGAGUAAAUGAGUUUAGUUCUUGAAUGUGUGAAUCAUUAUCACUAUAGUCCUUGGAUGUAUUAGAAUUAAAAAAACAUUCUUGAAUAUGUCUUCUGUUGGUCAGUUUGAUCCUCAAAUGUGUUUUCGUUAGUUAGUUAGUUUGGUUUUCUAAUGUUUCUUCCAUAAGUCAAUUUGAUCUCUGUAAUUACUAAGAGAAGACAGACACAUGCAAUGAUGUUUUUGUGAUUUCGAUAUACUCAUAAACAACAUUGACGUCGCCUCACACAUUUGAGGACCAAAAUGUUUGUUUAUAGUUUUUAAAAGUUUUAAGCAUAUUGCCUAUACCAGAUACGAUACAGACAUGGCGGGCCACUUGUUCUUCAUGGGAUCACAUGCACAUUUAAAGCAGGUCACAAGAUCGGUAUUGUUGGCAGAACAGGCAGUGGGAAGUCAACUCUUAUUGGUGCUUUGUUUCGUCUUGUGGAACCAGCAGGAGGAAAAGUUGUAGUUGAUGGCAUAGACAUCUCAUCUAUUGGCCUUCAUGAUUUGAGGUCGCGUUUUGGAAUUAUACCACAGGAUCCUACUCUUUUUAGUGGGACAGUAAGAUUUAACUUGGACCCUUUAUCUCAACACACUGAUCAGGAGAUAUGGGAGGUAAAACAAGCUUAAUUUAAAUUUAGUUUAUCUUUGCAUUGCAUAGAGAGCGUGGACUAAUUCUUGAUCCAAAUGAAGGUUCUUGGGAAGUGUCAGUUACGAGAAGUUGUCCAAGGAAAAGAAGAGGGUUUAAACUCUUCAGGUACAUUUUCAAGCUUUGCCAUUAUAGCUAUAUGCUGGAAGUAGUUUUUUUUUUCCAGUUAAUAAUGACAAGUGAAAAAUUAUUACCUAGUUGUUGAAGAUGGAUCAAACUGGAGCAUGGGACAACGGCAGUUAUUUUGUUUGGGGCGUGCUCUUUUAAGGAGAAGUAGGAUAUUAGUAUUGGAUGAAGCAACUGCAUCAAUUGAUAAUUCUACUGACUUGAUUGUGCAGAAAACCAUAAGGGCUGAGUUUGCAGAUUGUACGGUGAUUACAGUAGCACAUAGGAUACCAACUGUGAUGGAUUGCACUAUGGUUCUUGCUAUAAGUGAUGGUAAGUUUCUUUUUGAGUUUUAUCAUCCCUCACUCCUUCUAUCUCAUUUAACAAACACUUACAGACUAAUCAAUAGCUCCAUACCCAUUUUCUUAUGUUGGUGAUACAUAAUCUGGUACUAAUUCUUGAAAAAGGUAAGACUACAAACAGUAGAGGUUAUCUGACACACACCAAACAUAGGUUUUUAUUUAAGAGUUUGACCUUGUAUAGCGCAUAAAUGGUAACACUUAAAAUAUGUUUGAUCAUUUACUUGUUUUCUUCGAUGAAAAGGAAGCCACUGACUGUGUUUUCAGGAAAAUUGGCGGAGUAUGAUGAGCCAAUGAACUUGAUGAAGAGAGAAGAAUCGAUGUUCGGGCAACUUGUCAAGGAAUACUGGUCUCAUAUGCAGUCUGCAGAAUCACAUUGACGCUACCUAUAUAUUUUAAGCCAACACUAUUUUUCGCUCACUUUCUUUUAUUUCUCUUGUACAAGCAAUAAAUUAAGAAAGUGAGCAGAAUCUGAAAUGUGUUCUGCUAGGAUAAAUCGUGAGGCCUAAGAGAUUGUAGCAAAAUGAAAUUAGGCCGACAAAUAAGGGCCUGUGAGUUUAUGGAAGAGGAAAUAAACAAGUUGGCUGGAGUGAGUGUGGGGAAGAUUCUACAGUUAAAGAAGGAGAUGGAUAAUGAUGAGUGCAUCUGGAAUUUUGUGGAAAGAGAGGGUGCGGUAGAGUGAAGGAGUUGGUCCUUCCUCAAGGGUUUCUGUUAUCUUUCUUUUUGUUUUUUUCUUCAUCUUACAUAGGAGUAGCGCUCCAGUCAGAAUUUUAUUUUUAUAGUUUUUCAGUUGAAUAUGUUUUCAACAGGGUCACUUUAUCUAAUAUAGAUUUAAGUGUCAAUAUUAAUUUUGCUUUACCUUUCAGAUUUUGGUUCCUAUCAGAAACUAUCAUACUUAGAACCUAACAUAACAGUAAGAGACAAUAUCAUGUUCCUCUGAUUCUUUUUCCCAUGGAAUUAGAAACUAAAUUUAGGCAGCAAUACACAUAACACUAGAAAUCAAACACGCUAACAAAUUAAAUUAAAAGCGAAACUACAAUCACUGGAGCAACUUGAUUGCUGACCUAAUGUCAGCUUCCUUGUUCUCAUAGAGUGGUCGCCAUCAAAGUCUUAAAAACGGUCUGCGACCGCGAAAACGGUCAGGUGCCGAUACCAAUUCCAUUAUUAACCACUUUUAUGUUGAAAACAAAUUGCACUUAAAUCACACUGCGACAAAAGCAAUCAGUGUCGCAACAUCUGUACCAACCGAAAUCACGAAAGCCUUUACGCGACCGCAACGGCUUUUUAAAACCUUGGUCGCAAUCAUGGGUGCAACUUGCAACAGAUGAACACUCUUUUAUACAUCAGAUAUCUGAUAUGGCUCUAAUUUUUUUUCAAAUUCUUCAAGUUUUUAUCUAUUCAAACACUCUUUUAUACAUCAGAUAUCUGAUAUGGCUCUAAUUUUUUUUCAAAUUCUUCAAGUUUUUAUCUAUUCCUUUUUGCAAUUAUAUACCUAAGAAUCACAAUCUUCAUGAUUAUGUAAAAUUAAUCAAUAUUCAACCUUGAAUCUUUGAAAACGCAAUGAUUCUCAUAAUUCAACGUUAUAAAUUAUUUCGAAUUUGUAUUUCUAUAACCAAGCACGUAUACAAAAAAAAUUGAAAAAUUCAGAAAAGGAUAUGGAGAAAUUGGGAGUGACCUUGGAUUGAAGCGUGAAGCCGUGACAAUGUGAUCAGUGACAGUGAAAGGGACCGUCAUCAACCAGUGGAGCUCUAUGGACCGUCGCUGGACGCGUAAUGCGGCGACCGGCGACGUCGUCAUUGCAGUUGCAGUUGCAGCUCCGUGGAAAUGAAAGGAAGCGAGAUUUGAAGGAGGUUUUUUUCAGCCAAAUUAUGAUGCUGCG